UCCUCGUUUAAGCGAGGCAGUCUGUCCAGAGUGCUCCGAACUCUCGUUCGGGUGGCAACAGGACACAAGGGUUGCGCUCGUUGCGGGACUUAACCCAACAUCUCACGACACGAGCUGACGACAGCCAUGCAGCACCUGUGUAUGCUUCCCUUGCGGGUUCGUCCCACUUUCAUGGUUCUACUACAUACAUGUCAAGGCCAGGUAAGGUUCUUCGCGUUGCAUCGAAUUAAGCCACAUACUCCACCGCUUGUGCAGGCCCCCGUCAAUUUCUUUGAGUUUUAAUCUUGCGACCGUACUUCCCAGGCGGCACGUUUAACGCGUUAGCUUCGCCACAAAAGGGGUCGAUUCCUUUUACAGCAAACGUGCACCGUUUACGGCUAGGACUAC
This 387-nucleotide unclassified non-coding RNA is filed under the name uncultured Verrucomicrobiae bacterium. RNAcentral's name for it is "contains 16S-23S intergenic spacer region". The record is from RNAcentral. Lineage: Bacteria; Pseudomonadati; Verrucomicrobiota; Verrucomicrobiia.